This 450-nucleotide ribosomal RNA is filed under the name uncultured bacterium. RNAcentral describes it as "bacterial SSU rRNA". It matches the Rfam family "Bacterial small subunit ribosomal RNA", at positions 354 to 796 of the family's 1533-position model. The record is from RNAcentral.
GUGGGGAAUAUUGGACAAUGGGCGAAAGCCUGAUCCAGCCAUGCCGCGUGUGUGAAGAAGGUCUUCGGAUUGUAAAGCACUUUAAGUUGGGAGGAAGGGCAGUAAGUUAAUACCUUGCUGUUUUGACGUUACCAACAGAAUAAGCACCGGCUAACUUCGUGCCAGCAGCCGCGGUAAUACGAAGGGUGCAAGCGUUAAUCGGAAUUACUGGGCGUAAAGCGCGCGUAGGUGGUUCAGCAAGUUGGAGGUGAAAUCCCCGGGCUCAACCUGGGAACUGCCUCCAAAACUACUGAGCUAGAGUACAGUAGAGGGUAGUGGAAUUUCCUGUGUAGCGGUGAAAUGCGUAGAUAUAGGAAGGAACACCAGUGGCGAAGGCGACUACCUGGACUGAUACUGACACUGAGGUGCGAAAGCGUGGGGAGCAAACAGGAUUAGAAACCCGAGUAGUCC